GUGCUUGCUUCUGCAGCACAUAUACUAAAAUUGGAAUGAUUCAGAGAUUAGCAUGUCCCCUGUACAAGGAUGACAUGCAAAUUAAUGAAGCAUUCCAUAUUUAA
Molecule: small nuclear RNA, 104 nt
Organism: Pongo abelii (Sumatran orangutan)
Lineage: Eukaryota; Metazoa; Chordata; Mammalia; Primates; Hominidae
Source: Ensembl